RNAcentral lists this ribosomal RNA (245 nucleotides) under uncultured archaeon. RNAcentral's name for it is "partial 16S ribosomal RNA". It matches the Rfam family "Archaeal small subunit ribosomal RNA", at positions 474 to 717 of the family's 1478-position model. The record is from RNAcentral.
UCCCGGCAGUUCAAGUCGCAACCAACAUUAUUGGGUCUAAAACAUCCGUAGCUUGUCGUGUAAGUUCUUUGUGAAAUCCUGUAUCUUAAGUAUGGGGCGAGCAGAGAGUACUACUCGGCUAGAGACCGGUAGGCGUAAGAAGUACAUUCAAGGUAGUGGUAAAAUACGUUAAUCUUGGAUGGACUCACAACUAGCGAAGGCAUCUUACGAGGACGGAUCUGACAGUGAGGGAUGAAGGCCAAGGG